Molecule: ribosomal RNA, 332 nt
Filed under: uncultured bacterium
Lineage: Bacteria
Description: bacterial SSU rRNA
Rfam family: Bacterial small subunit ribosomal RNA
Source: RNAcentral
UGCGCAGGCGGCUGAGUGUGUCAGGUGUGAAAGCCCGAGGCUUAACCUCGGAAUUGCGCCUGAAACUGCUCGGCUAGAGGACUGGAGAGGGUAGCGGAAUUCACGGUGUAGCAGUGAAAUGCGUAGAUAUCGUGAGGAACACCAGAGGCGAAGGCGGCUACCUGGACAGUACCUGACGCUCAGGCACGAAAGCGUGGGGAGCAAAAGGGAUUAGAUACCCCUGUAGUCCACGCCCUAAACGGUGCACACUAGGUCUUGGCGGAUUCGACCCCUCCAGGGCCCAAGCUAACGCGUUAAGUGUGCCGCCUGAGGACUACGGCCGCAAGGCUAAA